AACGAACGCUGGCGGCAUGCCUAACACAUGCAAGUCGAACGAGAACUUCGGGCCUAGUGGCGGACGGGUGCGUAACGCGUGGGAACCUGCCCUUGGGUUCGGAAUACCUCCCCGAAAGGGGUGCUAAUACCGGAUGAUCUCUUCGGGGCAAAGAUUUAUCGCCUUUGGAUGGGCCCGCGUUGGAUUAGGUAGUUGGUAGGGUAAAAGCCUACCAAGGCGACGAUCCAUAGCUGGUCUGAGAGGAUGAUCAGCCACACUGGGACUGAGACACGGCCCAGACUCCUACGGGAGGCAGCAGUGGGGAAUAUUGGACAAUGGGGGAAAGCCUGAUCCAGCAAUGCCGCGUGAGUGAUGAAGGCCUUAGGGUUGUAAAGCUCUUUUAGCCGGGAUGAUAAUGACGGUACCGGGAGAAGAAGCCCCGGCUAACUCCGUG
RNAcentral lists this ribosomal RNA (433 nucleotides) under uncultured bacterium. RNAcentral's name for it is "partial 16S ribosomal RNA". It matches the Rfam family "Bacterial small subunit ribosomal RNA", at positions 29 to 507 of the family's 1533-position model. The record is from RNAcentral.